This 74-nucleotide transfer RNA is filed under the name Gemmatimonadota bacterium. RNAcentral's name for it is "Gemmatimonadetes bacterium tRNA-Pro". It matches the Rfam family "tRNA". Rfam says of the family: Transfer RNA (tRNA) molecules are approximately 80 nucleotides in length. Their secondary structure includes four short double-helical elements and three loops (D, anti-codon, and T loops). RNAcentral also lists the same sequence under 1 other name. The record is from RNAcentral. Lineage: Bacteria; Pseudomonadati; Gemmatimonadota.
CGGGGCGUAGCUUAGCCCGGUAGAGCGCCUGCUUUGGGAGCAGGAGGUCGCGGGUUCGAAUCCCGCCGCCCCGA